GAAACCAACAGGGAUUUCCUCAGUAGCGGCGAGUGAAGAGGGACAAGCUCAAGCCGAUAAUCUCGACGGCAACGUCGGCGAAUUGUAGUUUGGAGAAGUGUCUUCAACGCGUGGCCGGUUCCGGUCAAAGUUGCUUGGAACAGCACGUCGCGGAGGGUGACAGUCCCGUACUUGACCGGGCGACCUGCGCCACGAAGCACUUUCGAAGAGUCGGGUUGUUUGGGAAUGCAGCCCAAAGUGGGUGGUAAACUCCAUCUAAAGCUAAAUACGAGCACGAGACCGAUAGCGAACAAGUACCGUGAGGGAAAGAUGAAAAGCACUUUGAAAAGAGAGUUAAAGAGUACGUGAAAUCGUUGAAGGGGAAACGAAUGCGACUAGCAAAGCACCCGUUGCAGAUUCAGCCUGGUCGUCUUGCGCCACUUGACGUGCAGAUCAGAAAGAAAAGAACCGCCGUCGACGUCGUGGCAAAUCGGCCUGUCGCAAUUCUGCCCGGUGCGAGCCAAAAUCGGUCUAGAGGCGGUCGACACGCGUUUGGCGUCGUUUUUCGGACUGCAUGCAGUGCGCGAUUCGAUCGUCGGAGCGAGUCGGUCAGUCUUUCAUACACGGGCCUAGGUCGUUGGCGGUGAAAUGGUUUCAUACGACCCGUCUUGAAACACGGACCAAGGAGUCUAACAUGUGUGCGAGUCGUGGGGUGUUAAACCCUGUGGCACAAUGAAAGUGAUUGUGGAGACGAGAAGCUUGCCUUAGUUGCGAGCCGCAUCGUCGGCCGACCUGACCUGAUUUCAGAAAGGUUUGAGUAGGAGCACGCCUGUUGGGACCCGAAAGAUGGUGAACUAUGCCUGAAUAGGGUGAAGCCAGAGGAAACUCUGGUGGAGGCUUGUAGCGAUUCUGACGUGCAAAUCGAUCGU
Molecule: ribosomal RNA, 908 nt
Filed under: Oscarella microlobata
Lineage: Eukaryota; Metazoa; Porifera; Homoscleromorpha; Homosclerophorida; Oscarellidae
Description: eukaryotic LSU rRNA
Rfam family: Eukaryotic large subunit ribosomal RNA
Source: RNAcentral